AGUGAACGCUGGCGGUAGGCCUAACACAUGCGAGUCGAACGGCAGCACAGUAAGAGCUUGCUCUUACGGGUGGCGAGUGGCGGACGGGUGAGGAAUACAUCGGAAUCUACUUUUUCGUGGGGGAUAACGUAGGGAAACUUACGCUAAUACCGCAUACGACCUACGGGUGAAAGCAGGGGAUCUUCGGACCUUGCGCGAUUGAAUGAGCCGAUGUCGGAUUAGCUAGUUGGCGGGGUAAAGGCCCACCAAGGCGACGAUCCGUAGCUGGUCUGAGAGGAUGAUCAGCCACACUGGAACUGGGACACGGUCCAGACUCCUACGGGAGGCAGCAGUGGGGAAUAUUGGACAAUGGGCGCAAGCCUGAUCCAGCCAUACCGCGUGGGUGAAGAAGGCCUUCGGGUUGUAAAGCCCUUUUGUUGGGAAAGAAAAGCAGCAGGUUAAUACCCCGCUGUUCUGACGGUACCCAAAGAAUAAGCACCGGCUAACUUCGUG
Molecule: ribosomal RNA, 492 nt
Filed under: uncultured bacterium
Lineage: Bacteria
Description: partial 16S ribosomal RNA
Rfam family: Bacterial small subunit ribosomal RNA
Source: RNAcentral